UACGUAGGGUGCAAGCGUUGUCCGGAAUUAUUGGGCGUAAAGAGCUCGUAGGCGGUUGGGUAAGUCGGGUGUGAAAACUCCAGGCUCAACUUGGAGACGCCACCCGAUACUGCUCUGACUUGAGUUCGGUAGGGGAGUGGGGAAUUCCUGGUGUAGCGGUGAAAUGCGCAGAUAUCAGGAGGAACACCGAUGGCGAAGGCAGGUCUCUGGGCAUUAACUGACGCUGAGGAGCGAAAGCAUGGGGAGCGAACAGG
Molecule: ribosomal RNA, 254 nt
Filed under: uncultured bacterium
Lineage: Bacteria
Description: partial 16S ribosomal RNA
Rfam family: Bacterial small subunit ribosomal RNA
Source: RNAcentral